GAUGAAGAACGUAGCGAAAUGCGAUAAGUAAUGUGAAUUGCAGAAUUCAGUGAAUCAUCGAAUCUUUGAACGCACAUUGCGCCCGCCAGCAUUCUGGCGGGCAUGCCUGUUCGAGCGUCAUUUCAACCCUCGAGCCCCCCAGGGGGCCUCGGUGUUGGGGGACGGCACACCAGCCGCCCCCGAAAUGCAGUGGCGACCCCGCCGCAGCCUCCCCUGCGUAGUAGCACACACCUCGCACCGGAGCGCGGAGGCGGUCACGCCGUAAAACGCCCAACUUUCUUAGAGUUGACCUCGGAUCAGGUAGGAAUACCCGCUGAACUUAAGCAUAUCAAUAAGCGGAGGA
This 343-nucleotide unclassified non-coding RNA is filed under the name soil metagenome. RNAcentral describes it as "partial contains 5.8S ribosomal RNA, internal transcribed spacer 2, and large subunit ribosomal RNA". The stretch from base 1 to 120 matches the Rfam family "5.8S ribosomal RNA", at positions 35 to 154 of the family's 154-position model. The record is from RNAcentral.